GCAAUCCCCUCCCGUGAAGUGAGUCCUCCCUUAUCUCCUUAGCGUCACCUUUUCCGCACUUCCUUUUGAUUCGUGCGAAGACCGGGCUGAAAUUGGAUCGGAUCCACAAAGCGGAGCAAGAGAUAUCCAUA
Long non-coding RNA from Rhodamnia argentea, 131 nucleotides. RefSeq lists it as uncharacterized. The transcript is spliced from 2 exons. Lineage: Eukaryota; Viridiplantae; Streptophyta; Magnoliopsida; Myrtales; Myrtaceae. The record is from RefSeq and is a predicted model, not a curated record.